Molecule: small RNA, 301 nt
Filed under: Nannospalax galili (Upper Galilee mountains blind mole rat)
Lineage: Eukaryota; Metazoa; Chordata; Mammalia; Rodentia; Spalacidae
Description: 7SK RNA (ENSNGAG00000004850.1)
Source: Rfam by way of RNAcentral
AGAUGAUCUGGCUGCAUUGUCUAUUGCCCAGUCACGUGGAUUGAGUCAGCUGAUCAGGUUGGCUGGCUAGGUGAGUAUCACUCUCCUCCCUGGCUGCUCCAUGUGCUGCAUGGUUGGUGGAAGAGGAUGACCUUCUCCAGUAGAGGAGAACCAUUCUUAAGUCUUAAGCUGCUGUCCCCAGCUUGAACCUCAAUACAAGCUCUUCAGAAAAUGUGGCAUGUUCAGAUGAGAGAAAAUAAACUGGGGAAUAUAAACUGGUACAUCCACCAUGGAAAUCAAUGUGGAAAUUUCCCAAAAAGCU